This is a long non-coding RNA of Mercenaria mercenaria, 912 nucleotides long. RefSeq lists it as uncharacterized. Lineage: Eukaryota; Metazoa; Mollusca; Bivalvia; Venerida; Veneridae. The record is from RefSeq and is a predicted model, not a curated record. The transcript is spliced from 2 exons.
CUUAAAAACUGUGAAAGAAAACCUGAUAUCUAAUAAGCAAACAUUCUUAAAAUAUUAAUCUACAUAUAAUAUUUUAAUAAAUGAAAACAACGAUGGAAUUGAAAACCACACUCUGUAGUGACAUUAAUUUGAGACCACGUGAUAUUGGGAUGCGGCUACGUAUAACUGGAGAUGAAUUCUUUAAUGAAUGGUGUCAAGAAAAACAAGAACGAUACCAAAAAUCUAAAGAAUCAUACCGAAGCAUUUUUCCUUACCCUGGGAUACUGGCGCACUAUAUAUACAAAGACUGUUUCUUGUGACAAGACGAAGAUAUGCUAGUCGUUUAAUUAUUUCGAUGGAAUCCGUUAAGGAUACAAUGAAGCUUCGGAGAGCUCUGAACCCCAGCGACGGCAAGUCACGGCGCUGACAAACGAAUGAACAGCUAUUGAAUCAUGCACAAUUCAUUUCUCAACGACUGUUUUAUGAUUCACGAGCUUUGAAAAAAAACCCCACAUAACCUGUGCUAAAGGAUAUCAACCGCAGUUGUUGACGUUAUCUAUAUACAAAACUCAUAUGGUGUCUUUAUUGUCCCUUCUGAUAUACAUGAAUUAUGUUUGUAUGAUGAUAGUACUCAAUAGAUUAAUUGAAAUGACUUUUCGAAGCAAACUGCGCGAAAACGUGUGUUUACCAAGAAGAUUUCAUAGUACUGUUAUGCUUCGCUUGAAAAGACAAAGUGAGACUUUAACACUCUACUGCAAUUACAGAUAUUUUAAAAGUGCCAAAGUGUUAUGUUAUGUUAUUAAUCUAUUAAUUCAGUAACUUGUUGGUACAUGUAUACUUAGAUAUUGUUACAUUUCAGACAGAAUUACAACUUCAUAUGCAUGCAUAUUUAUAAUACUAUUUUAAAUAUGUAAAAUGAUUAAAAACUAUACA